AGGAAACAGAGGUGCUACUGCCACCUCUCGCUCCUCUCUCUCUUCCCUCUCUUUUCCCUCUUCUUAUCCUUCUUCCUUCUCCUUCCUUUCUUCUUCUUUUCUUCCUUAUCUUCUCUUCUUCUCCUUCUCUUCCAGUUGCAGCUGCCACCGCCAUAGCCGCAACUCCUCCUUUCCCUUCUCUACUUCUCCUCUUCUUCUUCCCUCCUCCUCCCUGGCAUCACACACACCCUCUCCUCUGUUUCCUCUACAAGAAACAGAGGUAUCACAACCUCUUCUUCUUCUCUUCCUCUUCUUCUUCUUCACCUCUUCGAACGCCCCACACCUCUCCUCUGUUUCAACCUGCAGGAAACAGAGGUGCUGCAGCCCUAGCUACUACCACCUCUCGCUCCUCUCCCUCUUCCCUCUCUUUUCCCUCUUCUUCUCCUCUUCCCUUUUCCUCCCCAACGCCACACACCUCCUUGCUGCUGCCUUGCCGCAACUAUCCUCCUCUCUUCUUCUUCUUCUUCUUCUUUUUCUUCUUCUUCUCUUCUCCCUCUUCUUCCUCUCUUCUUCUCCCCACGCCCCACCGCUCCUCUCUCUAU
RNAcentral lists this long non-coding RNA (581 nucleotides) under Musa acuminata (dwarf banana). RNAcentral's name for it is "long non-coding RNA (MACU_LNC010091)". Lineage: Eukaryota; Viridiplantae; Streptophyta; Magnoliopsida; Zingiberales; Musaceae. The record is from RNAcentral.